Molecule: ribosomal RNA, 699 nt
Filed under: uncultured bacterium
Lineage: Bacteria
Description: bacterial SSU rRNA
Rfam family: Bacterial small subunit ribosomal RNA
Source: RNAcentral
AGGAGUUUGAUCCUGGCUCAGAAUGAACGCUGGCGGCGUGCCUAACACAUGCAAGUCGAACGAGAAAGUGGACUUCGGUCCACAAGUAAAGUGGCAUACGGGUGAGUAACACGUGGGUAAUCUGCCCGGAGGCGGGGGACAACUCUUCGAAAGGAGAGCUAAUACCGCAUAAUAUCCUGAGGACCUCGGUCCAUGGGAUCAAAGUUUGCCUCUGUUUCAUGCAAACACCACCGGAGGAACCCGCGCCCCAUUAGCUUGAUGGUGAGGUAACGGCUCACCAUGGCUACGAUGGGUAGCCGGCCUGAGAGGGUGAUCGGCCACACUGGAACUGAGACACGGUCCAGACUCCUACGGGAGGCAGCAGUGAGGAAUUUUGCGCAAUGGGCGAAAGCCUGACGCAGCGACGCCGCGUGGAGGACGAAGGCCUUCGGGUCGUAAACUCCUGUCAAGAGGGACGAAUCCCUGACGGAUGAAUAAGCCGGUAGGUUGACGGUACCUCUGAAGGAAGCCCCGGCUAACUCCGUGCCAGCAGCCGCGGUAAUACGGAGGGGGCAAGCGUUGUUCGGAAUUAUUGGGCGUAAAGGGCACGCAGGCGGCUAAGCAAGUUGGUGGUGAAAGCCCUCGGCUCAACCGAGGAAUUGCCCCCAAAACUGCCUAGCUUGAGUCCCGGAGAGGGUGACGGAAUUCCCAGUGUAGCGG